This 273-nucleotide ribosomal RNA is filed under the name uncultured bacterium. RNAcentral's name for it is "partial 16S ribosomal RNA". It matches the Rfam family "Bacterial small subunit ribosomal RNA", at positions 523 to 796 of the family's 1533-position model. The record is from RNAcentral.
AUACGUAUGUCGCAAGCGUUAUCCGGAAUUAUUGGGCGUAAAGCGAGUCUAGGCGGCUUGUUAAGUCAGAUGUGAAAAUGCGGGGCUCAACUCCGUAUUGCGUUUGAAACUGGCAGGCUAGAGUUCUGGAGAGGUGGGCGGAACUACAAGUGUAGAGGUGAAAUUCGUAGAUAUUUGUAGGAAUGCCGAUAGUGAAGACAGCUCACUGGACAGAUACUGACGCUAAAGCUCGAAAGCGUGGGGAGCGAACAGGAUUAGAUACCCUAGUAGUCC